AGUAACGGCGAGCGAAGAGGGAAGAGCUCAAGCCGAAAAUCUCCGACGGUUGCCGUCGGCGAAUUGUAGUUUGGAGAAGUGUCUUGAACGCGUGGUCGGCCGGUCCAAGUUGCUUGGAACGGCACGUCGCAGAGGGUGACAACCCCGUCGGCGGCCGGGCGACCUGCGCCACGAAGCACUUUCGCAGAGUCGGGUUGUUUGGGAUUGCAGCCCAAAGCGGGUGGUAAACUCCAUCUAAAGCUAAAUACGAGCACGAGUCCGAUAGCGAACAAGUACCGUGAGGGAAAGAUGAAAAGCACUUUGAAAAGAGAGUUAAAGAGUACGUGAAACCGUUGAAGGGGAAACGAAUGCGACCAGCAAAGCACCGGUUGCAGAUUCACGUCUCGUUCGAUUGUCGCGGCCGGCGUGCGGAUCCGAUCGGACCGUCGUCGGUUGGUCGACAGACGAGGGGAUCGCACUUCUGCCCGAUGCGAGCCAACGUCGGUUCGUCGUCGGCGUCCCGCUUUCGAGUCAGGUACCUCGCGGUCUCGGCCGGGAGCGUUACAGGCGCGGAAGCACGGGCGUCGCGACGGACCGAGGCGACGAUUGUCGGUGGCGGCCCGCGCCCUCUUCGGGGCUAGAGGCCGACGCGGCACGUCGCGCGUCGUUGCGGGGACUGCGUGCAGUGCUCGCGUACGAUCGUGCGGGUGCCGUCGUCGCGUCUUUCGUAGGCGGGCCUCGGUCGUUGGCGGUGAAAUGGUCUCAUCCGACCCGUCUUGAAACACGGACCAAGGAGU
This 776-nucleotide ribosomal RNA is filed under the name Oscarella sp. 1 JV-2020. Its description in RNAcentral is "partial large subunit ribosomal RNA". It matches the Rfam family "Eukaryotic large subunit ribosomal RNA", at positions 82 to 674 of the family's 3401-position model. Lineage: Eukaryota; Metazoa; Porifera; Homoscleromorpha; Homosclerophorida; Oscarellidae. The record is from RNAcentral.